GAUGAACGCUGGCGGCGUGCCUAAUACAUGCAAGUCGAGCGAACGGACGAGAAGCUUGCUUCUCUGAUGUUAGCGGCGGACGGGUGAGUAACACGUGAAUAACCUACCUAUAAGACUGGGAUAACUUCGGGAAACCGGAGCUAAUACCGGAUGAUAUUUUGAACCGCAUGGUUCACAAGUGAAAGACGGUCUUGCUGUCACUUAUAGAUGGAUCCGCGCUGCAUUAGCUAGUUGGUAAGGUAACGGCUUACCAAGGCAACGAUGCAUAGCCGACCUGAGAGGGUGAUCGGCCGCACUGGAACUGGGGCACGGUCCAGACUCCGACGGGAGGCAGCAGUAGGGAAUCUUCCGCAGUGGGCGAAAGCCUGACGGAGCGGCGCCGCGUGAGUGAUGAAGGUCUUCGGAUCGUAAAACUCUGUUAUUAGGGAAGAACAUAUGUGUAAGUAACUGUGCACAUCUUGACGGUACCGAAUCAGAAAGCCACGGCUAACUACGUG
This 497-nucleotide ribosomal RNA is filed under the name uncultured bacterium. Its description in RNAcentral is "partial 16S ribosomal RNA". It matches the Rfam family "Bacterial small subunit ribosomal RNA", at positions 28 to 507 of the family's 1533-position model. The record is from RNAcentral.